This 475-nucleotide ribosomal RNA is filed under the name uncultured organism. RNAcentral describes it as "partial 16S ribosomal RNA". It matches the Rfam family "Bacterial small subunit ribosomal RNA", at positions 335 to 801 of the family's 1533-position model. The record is from RNAcentral.
ACUCCUGCGGGAGGCAGCAGUGGGGAAUAUUGCACAAUGGGCGCAAGCCUGAUGCAGCCAUGCCGCGUGUAUGAAGAAGGCCUUCGGGUUGUAAAGUACUUUCAGCGGGGAGGAAGGCGAUAAGGUUAAUAACCUUGUCGAUUGACGUUACCCGCAGAAGAAGCACCGGCUAACUCCGUGCCAGCAGCCGCGGUAAUACGGAGGGUGCAAGCGUUAAUCGGAAUUACUGGGCGUAAAGCGCACGCAGGCGGUCUGUCAAGUCGGAUGUGAAAUCCCCGGGCUCAACCUGGGAACUGCAUUCGAAACUGGCAGGCUAGAGUCUUGUAGAGGGGGGUAGAAUUCCAGGUGUAGCGGUGAAAUGCGUAGAGAUCUGGAGGAAUACCGGUGGCGAAGGCGGCCCCCUGGACAAAGACUGACGCUCAGGUGCGAAAGCGUGGGGAGCAAACAGGAUUAGAUACCCCAGUAGUCCCAUGAU